Molecule: long non-coding RNA, 3180 nt
Organism: Myzus persicae (green peach aphid)
Lineage: Eukaryota; Metazoa; Arthropoda; Insecta; Hemiptera; Aphididae
Exons: 3
Source: RefSeq, a predicted model, not a curated record
CAUGCAUCGACUAGAUUCAUUUUCCCAUCUGAAAAGAUUCUGAAGUUGAAGAUUGCAACAUUUUUUCAACUACUUAUCGUGUACGCAGACACAAAAAAAAUAAAAACCACACUUCAUUGUAAAAUCAAUAAAAUCAAAUCAAUCGCUCCGCUAAAAAUAUAAAAGGGUUUUUUAGUUUGCUUACAUUUAUAUUUCCCAGUCCGAAAGAUAGGUAUCACUUGUGGUAUUUUAUAUUAAAUUUAUAAUUCUAUUUACAACCAAGGAAACAAAAUCAAAUUCAACCAACUUGAUAUUUAAGUAUACGGACCUUUUUUUUUUUACAACAUUCCACGUGUCAAAUAAUUCUGAAAGAACGUAAACGGCUACACACUACCCAGGGCUCCGGAUCUAAGAAUUUAUAAGCGGGAUUACUAAUAAACCAGAAUUACCAGAACCAAAUUAAGAAGAAAUAACACGGAUAAUUAAAUCUUUAAAAAACAAGUCACCGAGGGAGGGCAAUAUCAAUGCUGAAUUAAUUAAAACAUCUACCUCAAAAUUAAUAUCACAGAUAUGGCUUUUGAUCCAAGAAGUAUAGAAAAGUGGAAAAGUUCCGAGCGAUUAACAAAUAGCAAUCAUAUGCCCGAUUUAUAAAAAAGAUGACCCUAUGGAAACAGCUAACUAUAGAGGAAUUUCACUUUAAGACACCUGUUAUAAAGUUUUAUCGAUGGCAAUCCUGCGAAGGCUGAAAGUCGAUGCUAACAGUAUAAUUGGAGACUACCAAAGCAGCUUUAUGAGAAGGAAAUCUACCACAUACCCUAUUUUUAUCAUCAGACAAUUGUUGAAAAAGCGCUAUUAGUAUGGUAGAGAAGUGCAUCUUUGUUGUGUGGACUUUAAACAGGUCUACGACAGUAUUAUAAGAGAUAAAUUAUGGGCAGCACAGAAAGAAUUUGGUAUACCAACUAAAUGAAUCCAGCUGAUAAAAGAGUGCAGUGACGAAACAUACUCUAAAGUAAAAGUAGCGAAUAAACUUUCAAAAAGUUUCGACGUUAGAGCUGGCCUAAGACAGGGAAAUGCGCUUUCCCCUGUAUUUUUCAAUCUUGACGUUAAAAAAAUUAUUAUAUCUCUCCCCGUUAGACAAAGUAUGGAAAUUCUGGAACAGAACACUAUCUUAGCAUACACAGAUGAUAUUUUUAUAAUUGGUAGCUCCCGAAUCGAAGUGGAUAUGAGGACCACAGACCUAAUAAAAGCAACAGAACCGAUUGGAUUGAAUUUUAAUCAAGAAAAGACCAAAUAUCUAAUAGUAUCAAAAAAGGCGAUAAUUCAAGAUGACUUGCAAGUGGAUGGAUUGGUCUUCCAACAAGUAACAGAUGUUAGUUACUUAGGAACUAACUUAAACAUUUAAAACAAUAUGUACAAUGAGAUAAAAUUGAGAAUUGUGUCAGGGAACAAGGGAUAUUAUGCACUUUCAAAAUUGUUAAAAUCAAAACUACUAUCCAGAAGGUCAAAAGAGAACCUAUACUCCAGCUUUCUACGACCGGUUUGACGUAUGGUUGUGAAACCUGGGCGGUGACUAAGGGAGAUGAGGAGAAAAUGAAUAUUUUUGAAAGAAAAAUACUACGCUGAAUUUAUGGUCCUGUAAUGGAGAGUAGAGAAUAUAGAAAGAGAACUAACCAAGAAAUGUACCAAAUUUUUAAUUAACCCAUUAUUAUUACGUAUAUAAAAAGCAACAGGUUAGAAUGGGCGAGUUAUGUCUGGAGGUCGGAAGGUAUGGGAAAAAAAUUGUUUACUGGAAGACUGAGCGGAAAAAGGCCCAGGGGGCGACCGAAUCAAAGAUGGACGGACAGAGUGAAGACGGAUCUCACGGAAAUCUCAGUAGAAGCAAGAAUUGAAGACAGUGAUAGGUGGAGAGCAGUGGUUAGGUUAAGGAAGGUCCGAAAUAGACUGUGAAAGCUGGAAAGAAGAAGACAAUAUAGUACAUAAAAUAACAGAUUGUUUGGUUUAAUAUGGCCAAUGGAAAGUCAGGCUAACAAUUUUAAUAGAAAAAUGGUCCGCAGUAUUAUUAAGGUGUAAACUGUAAGUUGUAAAUCAUUUUAAAUAUUUAUCAUAAACAUAAUAUUAUAAUAUGAAAACUAGCUUUUCUUGGUUUUUACUUGUAUGUAUCUUAUACAAUAUGAAAAUCUCGUUUCACAAUGGAAAAUGUUUGUUACCUUAACUCCUCCGGAACGGCUGGACCGAUUUUUAUGACAUUUUGAGUGCAUGUUAGGUUAGGUCUCAGAGAGUGAUGUACACUAUUUUUCAUACCCCUAUAUGAUGUUAAGAGUGGCUCACAUAAAAUAUUUUUUAAUAUUUAACAUACAAAUUGCAUAACAAUAACAAUAAUCACCGAGCGUACAACAGCAAUAUGGUUAUCGAAUAUUAGUAUCAAUAUAACUUUUAAACGAUAAAAUACAUGCAAUUCACAUACAAAAAGAGUGUAUUGCAAUAAUAUUUGGCGUUCCAGUAAGUUUUGAUGGAAUAUUUUUGUUUUUAAAAAUAUCCGCAAUUAGACAUACAAACUUAAGUCGCGAAACUCGCAAUACUACCAGUCAAAGAUAUACACUAUCAACUAUCAAGUAAAACACAUCAUUUGACGGAUGAAAAGGUCAGGUUGUAGGUUCCUGGAAACCCGCGGGCUGCCGUGCCAAAAAAUAUGCGUAUAAACCUGUACAAUAUGUAUAUAUAUUAUAUAAUAUAUUAAUAUAUACAUACGUUAUGUAUAACGUUUAUUCUAAUUAAUAACUCAUUUUCUUAAUUUUUUAGUGGAAAUUAGUAUUUUUUUUUUUUUUUCGGUUAAUCGGGCAGAACAGGUUUAAGCAUGCAUCAUAUUGCCUACCAAGGAGGCUGAAUUGCACUUAUAACUGCUCAUCGGACUGUCCACGAUUAAAAUAAAAAUAAAACGUAUUAUUCAAAUAAUCAUAUAGAUAGUGGUAGUAAACUAAUAUAGUAUGCACCUGAUUAUAUACUGCUCGCAUUAUCACCAUCAAGUCUCUUAAAUAGAGAUGGCAUUUUUAAAGGUCAACAAAGUGCAGGGGAUAAGCUAAUAUUUUUAUAAAAAUAUAAUAGACUUAUGGAUUUUCCAAUCAAUAUGUAGCUAUGGAUUACAAGCGAGACACUAUAUUUAUUAUAUAAGAAUCUAACUUGAUUUUGGAGACGAAGGAAACC